Molecule: ribosomal RNA, 273 nt
Filed under: uncultured bacterium
Lineage: Bacteria
Description: partial 16S ribosomal RNA
Rfam family: Bacterial small subunit ribosomal RNA
Source: RNAcentral
UACGGGGGGAGCAAGCGUUGUUCGGAUUUACUGGGCGUAAAGGGCGCGUAGGCGGCGCAACAAGUCACUUGUGAAAUCUCCGGGCUUAACCCGGAGCGGCCAAGUGAUACUGUCGUGCUAGAGUGCGGAAGGGGCAACUGGAAUUCUCGGUGUAGCGGUGAAAUGCGUAGAUAUCGAGAGGAACACCUGCGGCGAAGGCGGGUUGCUGGGCCGACACUGACGCUGAGGCGCGAAAGCUAGGGGAGCGAACGGGAUUAGAAACCCCCGUAGUCC